GCAUCCGCCAUGACACCCAUAACGUAGAAAACCUGCUAUCAGCCUUCCAAACUUUCAAUUUACCCCAUUUAUUCCACCUUUUCACCUUCUCAAUCUCCACCCACCCCAUUUACUUUAUCCACUUUACCAAAAACUUAUUUCAUUAUUCCUUCACUUAUUCACCUUCCAUUUUCACUUCUACUUAAACCACUCUUACCAUCACCACUUCCACCAUUCUUAC
This 220-nucleotide long non-coding RNA is filed under the name Lathyrus oleraceus (garden pea). Its description in RNAcentral is "Pisum sativum (pea) long non-coding RNA (PSAT_LNC013327)". The record is from RNAcentral. Lineage: Eukaryota; Viridiplantae; Streptophyta; Magnoliopsida; Fabales; Fabaceae.